GCCAGGCAUGGUGGCUCAUGCCUGUAAUCCCAGCACUUUGGGAGGCUGAGGGGGGAGAAUCGCUUGAGCCCAGGAGUUCGAGACCAGCCUGGGCAACAUAGUGAGAUUCCAUCUCUA
Pongo abelii (Sumatran orangutan) is the source of this 117-nucleotide unclassified non-coding RNA. It matches the Rfam family "Metazoan signal recognition particle RNA". Rfam says of the family: The signal recognition particle (SRP) is a universally conserved ribonucleoprotein. The record is from Ensembl. NCBI's taxonomy places the organism in Eukaryota, Metazoa, Chordata, Mammalia, Primates, Hominidae.